Molecule: long non-coding RNA, 789 nt
Organism: Triticum aestivum (bread wheat)
Lineage: Eukaryota; Viridiplantae; Streptophyta; Magnoliopsida; Poales; Poaceae
Exons: 3
Source: RefSeq, a predicted model, not a curated record
ACGUUCCCCUCUCUCUCGCCCGACGCCACCCACCACUCGUUCCCCACCACUCGUCUCUCUCUCGCGCGCGACGCCGUCCUCUCCCCGUCGAUGUGCCCUCUCGCCGGCAUCUUGCUCCGCACCGUCGCCUAGCUCACCGCUCCCCAUGCAUCGCCGCCUAGCUCACCGCUCCCAAUGCGCCACCCUCUCAAACUCCGGCAAUGCACUGCUGGGCGAGGAGUAGAUGCAGAAAGCUGCCAUUUUUAUGCGCCGGCAACGCGCUGGCGCUAGAUCUGAGUGCGUUGGCGCUCGAUCUGCUUCGUGGAGAGGCAUGAAGGAGGCGCUGAAGCGGAGCCGGAGCGGCGCCGGCGCGGGCGUGAAGACGGCGGCAGUAGGAGCUGGAGCCCGAGCAGGUGGAGGUGGAGCCGCAUCUGGACCUUGUACUGUAUCAAGAUGGAUGGAGUAGAGAGCCUAGAGUAGGAAAGAGCCUUGGACCGUAGCCAUGGACAGCGCAUGACAGAGCCAUGGACAGUGCAACAUCACAAACUUCAUUCCUGUAGAGCCUGAUGCAGCGCAGCAUCACAACCUUGAUGGAAGGAGGCCAGGCCAUGAAGAGAAAAGCUCCUGCCCAUAUCGAUUCAAGAGGAGAGGAGAGCCAUGGAGGGAGAAGCCUGCUGCUGCAAUACCUACCUUGUCGUCCUCAUGGUAUUCUCCAACUUCUCAUGAAGUUUGUGUAGCCUUCUGUUACUCAUGAAGCUUCUGUAGCCUCUGUUACACAUGAAGCUUCUGUAGCUUCACUAGCUUAUGAAU